This 1958-nucleotide long non-coding RNA is filed under the name Homo sapiens (human). RNAcentral's name for it is "non-protein coding lnc-FSCB-1:16". The record is from RNAcentral. Lineage: Eukaryota; Metazoa; Chordata; Mammalia; Primates; Hominidae.
AGUAUCUGCUGGCCAGGCUGGAGGGCAGUGGCAAUCAUAGCUCACUGUAGCCUUGAACUCCUGGGCUUAGGUGUUCUCCUGACUCAGUCUUCCAAGUAGCUGGAACUACAGGUGUGUGCCACCAUGCCUGGCUAAUUUUUUAAAUCUUUUGCAGAGAUAGGGUCUUGCUAUGUUGCCCAGACUGGUCUCCAACUCUUGGACUCAGACGAGGUUUUGCCAUGUUGCCCAAGCUGAUCUCGAACUUCUUGGCUCAAGUGAUCUGCCUGCCUUCCAAAGUGCUGGGAUUACAGGCAUGAGCCACCAAGCGCAGCCAUGAUUUAUUAGAUCACUUCUAAAAGCCCUCUCUCCAUCUCCAAGCCAGCAAGUGCUUCUUUGCACCCCAGCUCUAAAACAAAGCCCUUGGGGACACAAUCAAAGACAGUAGUUGCCAAGAGGAAUAGGGAGCAUGGAAAGAAGGUGCUGGAUGUGCAUACAGCUAACCUGGUAACUCCAAACUGGAUGAGCUCAUUCCUUGAGACUGGAAUUACAAAAUUGGAACAGCUCACUAAUAAUUGAAGAUGAUUUGGGAAAACCAUUAUCCUUCCUCAGGUUUUACAAGAACCUGUGACAAAUGAAAAUGGUUUUCCUAGAUAAGAACGAAACUGUGUUGGGUGGCUAACAAGAUUGAAACUCAUCUGACUUUGAGAAAUAAAUCAAUUUGGGUAAAAUUAAACUGCGGGACAUAGCGCAGAAGACUUGUCACAAUUUAGGACCAACCUACCAAGACUUCUUGAUCUCUUUCCACUUCUUGCCCCUCACUGUGUUUGAUUUCUGCCUUCCAGUCUGAACUUCUCACUAUAUUCCAGAAAAGGCCUGUUAAAGAGAUCUGGUAGUCAAAAGCAACCUCUUUUUUGCUUGUGCUCUCUGUUAUACAUAAGAAACCAGUCCUGCUGCAGCUCCAUAUUUGCAUUACUAAUUUAAUCAGUUAGCGGGACACAUGCUCUUUAUAACCCAAAAAAUUGAAGCAUGAAAUUUGGGAGUCAUACCCAUCACCCAAAUGUGGCAUAACAAUGUUCUUCUUCCCCGCAAAGCAGUGUCCUUCCCCAAAGAAAUUCUGGGGAUUGGCAUUUUCUUCAUCCACUCCUUUCAUUAUUUCCUUUACCUAUUUCUCUGAGUCUAUUAGCAUCCUUGGAGGGGGGAAUGUAUCUUAUUUAUUGUUAUAUCUCCCAGGCUCACACAUCACUCAAUAAAGGUUUGUUGAAUGAAACAAUAAAUGGAUGCAAGACUAAAUGAACAAAGAAAAGCCACGGGGAAGAUAACAAUGUUAUGUCAUAAUUCAGGAUCAUCUUUUUCUGUUUUUUCCCCUCCAGCUUUAUUGAGGUAUAAUUGACAAAUAAAAAUUAUAUAUAUUCAAGGUGUCCAACAAGAUGUUUUGAUAUACAUAUACAUUGUGAAAUGAUUACCACAAUCAAACUAAUUAGCAUGUCCAUUACCUCACAUAAUUACCUUUUUUAUGUGUGCUGAGAAUACUUAAGAUUUGCUUUCUUAGCAAAUUUUAAGUAUACAAUACAUUAUGAUUAACUAUAGUCAUCAUACUUUACAGUAAGUCUCCAGAACUUACUUCAUCUGCAGGUUUGUACUCUGACCAACAUCAUCUUAUUUCACUCCCCACCCCACUUUCAGCACUGGUAACCACAUUUCUAUUCUAAGCCUUCUGGUGAAAUUUCUUUCUUAUUUCACUCCCAGUGAGUAACACAAGAGAAAAAUAAACAACAAAAGCCAGUCAAUAAUUAUAAAGUGAAUCUUACCAGUAUAGAGUUAUAAGCCUUGUUUUUACUUCACUGAUAAUGUUGUCGUGAACACUGUUUGAAUAAUGAAGACUAAAGGAAUGAUGGCAUGCACUGUGAGUUCUUGAUGUGGUUGAAGCAAAAUUCCCAACAAACAGACAUUUUGCUAUUUCAUUAGUGUUUAUGGCUGAU